This 256-nucleotide long non-coding RNA is filed under the name Capsella rubella. Its description in RNAcentral is "long non-coding RNA (CRUB_LNC004557)". The record is from RNAcentral. Lineage: Eukaryota; Viridiplantae; Streptophyta; Magnoliopsida; Brassicales; Brassicaceae.
GUAAGUCAAACAGAGAGAUGCAAGUACGAGAGAUAUGUUUAUGAUCAAGUUAUAUUGUCAAUUGUGAACAUUAUUAAAAGAUUGCAAAUUUUUUUGAAUGAUGGGAAAGAGAUAAUCAUUUUUCGUUUCUUAAUAUUCAUGAGGAUUAUGAUAUCUCCCAAAAAAAAAAAAAACACUUGUUAUUAAUAUGAUGUGUGUGUGUUUUGCAAUGUGGUUUUGUAACAAAUAAAAUAAAAAAACAUUAAAGGAGAGGGUU